CAUAUUCCAUUCGCCCGGGUACUACGAGCAUUAGCUUAAAACCCAAAGGACUUGGCGGUGCUUAAGACCCCCCUAGAGGAGCCUGUUCUAGAGCCGAUAACCCCCGUUAAACCUCACCCUUCCUUGUCAACCCCGUCUAUAUACCGCCGUCGUCAGCUUACCCCCUGAGGGUUUAAUAGUAAGCAAAAUUGGUAGAUCUCAAAACGUCAGGUCGAGGUGUAGCGAAUGGAAGGGAUAGAAAUGGGCUACAUUCCUUAACACGAAAAAUGCAAUGAAACGUGCACUGGAAGGAGGAUUUAGCAGUAAGCGGAAAAUAGAGGU
RNAcentral lists this ribosomal RNA (321 nucleotides) under Enneapterygius tutuilae (high-hat triplefin). RNAcentral describes it as "partial 12S ribosomal RNA". It matches the Rfam family "Bacterial small subunit ribosomal RNA", at positions 859 to 1356 of the family's 1533-position model. The record is from RNAcentral. Lineage: Eukaryota; Metazoa; Chordata; Actinopteri; Blenniiformes; Tripterygiidae.